RNAcentral lists this ribosomal RNA (301 nucleotides) under uncultured bacterium. RNAcentral's name for it is "partial 16S ribosomal RNA". It matches the Rfam family "Bacterial small subunit ribosomal RNA", at positions 509 to 807 of the family's 1533-position model. The record is from RNAcentral.
CAGUAGCCGCGGUAAUACGAAGGGUGCAAGCGUUACUCGGAAUUACUGGGCGUAAAGCGUGCGUAGGUGGUGGUUUAAGUCCGUUGUGAAAGCCCUGGGCUCAUCCUGGGAAUUGCAGUGGAUACUGGGUCACUAGAGUGUGGUAGAGGAUAGUGGAAUUUCCGGUGUAGCAGUGAAAUGCGUAGAGAUCGGAAGGAACAUCUGUGGCGAAGGCGACUAUCUGGGCCAACACUGACACUGAGGCACGAAAGCGUGGGGAGCAAACAGGAUUAGAGACCCCCGUAGUCCCUGUCUCUUAUAC